This 387-nucleotide ribosomal RNA is filed under the name uncultured Katablepharidophyta. RNAcentral describes it as "partial small subunit ribosomal RNA". It matches the Rfam family "Eukaryotic small subunit ribosomal RNA", at positions 30 to 432 of the family's 1831-position model. Lineage: Eukaryota; Cryptophyceae; Kathablepharidacea. The record is from RNAcentral.
GCUUGUCUCAAAGAUUAAGCCAUGCAUGUCUAAGUGUAAAUAAGUCUAUACUGUGAAACUGCGAAUGGCUCAUUAAAUCAGUUAUCGUUUAUUUGAUGAUCUCUUACUACUUGGAUAACCGUAGUAAUUCUAGAGCUAAUACAUGCACAAAAUCCCGACUUACGAAGGGAUGUAUUUAUUAGAUACAAACCAACAUCGUGGUGAUUCAUAAUAACUGCGCGGAUCGCAUGGCCUUGCGCCGGCGACGCUUCAUUCAAAUUUCUGCCCUAUCAACUUUCGAUGGUAAGAUAGAGGCUUACCAUGGUGUUAACGGGUAACGGGGAAUUGGGGUUCGAUUCCGGAGAGGGAGCCUGAGAAAUGGCUACCACUUCCAAGGAAGGCAGCAGG